UACGUAGGGGGCAAGCGUUAUCCGGAUUUACUGGGUAUAAAGGGUGCGUAGGUGGUUUCUUAAGUCAGAGGUGAAAGGCUACGGCUCAACCGUAGUAAGCCUUUGAAACUGGGGAACUUGAGUGCAGGAGAGGAGAGUGGAAUUCCUAGUGUAGCGGUGAAAUGCGUAGAUAUUAGGAGGAACACCAGUUGCGAAGGCGGCUCUCUGGACUGUAACUGACACUGAGGCACGAAAGCGUGGGGAGCAAACAGG
Molecule: ribosomal RNA, 252 nt
Filed under: uncultured bacterium
Lineage: Bacteria
Description: partial 16S ribosomal RNA
Rfam family: Bacterial small subunit ribosomal RNA
Source: RNAcentral